UGAGGAAUAUUGGUCAAUGGACGAGAGUCUGAACCAGCCAAGUAGCGUGCAGGAUGACGGCCCUCCGGGUUGUAAACUGCUUUUAGUUGGGAAUAAAAAGAUGACGUGUCAUCUAUUGUAUGUACCAUCAGAAAAAGGACCGGCUAAUUCCGUGCCAGCAGCCGCGGUAAUACGGAAGGUCCAGGCGUUAUCCGGAUUUAUUGGGUUUAAAGGGUGCGCAGGCGGGCGUCUAAGUCAGCGGUGAAAGUUCCCGGCUCAACCGGGUCAGUGUCGAUGAUACUGGGGGCCUUGAAUGCGGUCGAGGCCGGCGGAAUGUGGCGUGUAGCGGUGAAAUGCAUAGAUAUGCCACAGAACACCGAUAGCGAAGGCAGCUGGCCGGGCCUGCAUUGACGCUGAGGCACGAAAGCGUGGGGAUCGAACAGGAUUAGAUACCCUGGUAGU
This 441-nucleotide ribosomal RNA is filed under the name uncultured Prevotellaceae bacterium. Its description in RNAcentral is "bacterial SSU rRNA". It matches the Rfam family "Bacterial small subunit ribosomal RNA", at positions 355 to 794 of the family's 1533-position model. Lineage: Bacteria; Pseudomonadati; Bacteroidota; Bacteroidia; Bacteroidales; Prevotellaceae. The record is from RNAcentral.